UACGUAGGUGGCAAGCGUUGUCCGGAUUUACUGGGCGUAAAGAGCGCGCAGGCGGUCGGAUAAGUCGAAUGUGAAAGCCCCCGGCUCAACUGGGGAGGGUCAUUCGAUACUGUUCGAAUCGAAGGCAGGAGAGGGAAGUGGAAUUCCCGGUGUAGUGGUGAAAUGCGUAGAUAUCGGGAGGAACACCAGUGGCGAAGGCGACUUCCUGGCCUGUUCUUGACGCUGAGGCGCGAAAGCUAGGGGAGCAAACGGG
RNAcentral lists this ribosomal RNA (253 nucleotides) under uncultured bacterium. RNAcentral's name for it is "partial 16S ribosomal RNA". It matches the Rfam family "Bacterial small subunit ribosomal RNA", at positions 524 to 776 of the family's 1533-position model. The record is from RNAcentral.